GAUGAACGCUGGCGGCGUGCCUAAUACAUGCAGGUCGAGCGAACAGACGAGGAGCUUGCUCCUCUGACGUUAGCGGCGGACGGGUGAGUAACACGUGGAUAACCUACCUAUAAGACUGGGAUAACUUCGGGAAACCGGAGCUAAUACCGGAUAAUAUAUUGAACCGCAUGGUUCAAUAGUGAAAGACGGUUUUGCUGUCACUUAUAGAUGGAUCCGCGCCGCACUAGCUAGUUGGUAAGGUAACGGCUUACCAAGGCAACGAUGCGUAGCCGACCUGAGAGGGUGAUCGGCCACACUGGAACUGAGACACGGUCCAGACUCCUACGGGAGGCAGCAGUAGGGAAUCUUCCGCAAUGGGCGAAAGCCUGACGGAGCAACGCCGCGUGAGUGAUGAAGGUCUUCGGAUCGUAAAACUCUGUUAUUAGGGAAGAACAAAUGUGUAAGUAACUAUGCACGUCUUGACGGUACCUAAUCAGAAAGCCACGGCUAACUACGUG
RNAcentral lists this ribosomal RNA (497 nucleotides) under uncultured bacterium. RNAcentral's name for it is "partial 16S ribosomal RNA". It matches the Rfam family "Bacterial small subunit ribosomal RNA", at positions 28 to 507 of the family's 1533-position model. The record is from RNAcentral.